CCCUGCUUCUCUCUCUCUCUCUCUCUCGAUCGAUUCCAGAUCUGGAUCUGGAUCUAUGGUUUUCCUCCUUAAAAUUUCACCAGAUAUGAAGAUUCUGACCUCUCAGUUCUGAUUUAGGGUAUUUUUGGUGUUAUUGCUACCUUCGUCAAGGGUCAUGGUUUAAGGAAUGUGUCACGUUUCUUCUGAGAUUCCAGUCGGAAUCCGAGCCGAGAUAAUGGAUGCUCUAGGGUUUAUGAAGGUUUGAUGAACUCUGCUGCGUGUACCAGCGAUACACAAAGAUCCUCUUUAAAUGGCUUCCGGUAAGACGAUUAGGGUUCCGGCGUGCUGGACUGCCAUCUCUGUCAAAAAAGGUUCCUCAAAGAUAGUGGUUGUGGGUGGAAGACGAUGACACAAGCCUUGAAUCAAAUCCAUGUUUACUCGACCUCCAUAUUUUGAGGGUAAAAGUGAAGAUGACUUCUUUGACAGGACUUAAAGCAAGUUGAAGUUUGCAUCAGAUAAGGGGAUGCGUUUAGAUGGUUGGCUGGAAAUCCUUCCCACAAACUGGAUAUAAUGGCUCAGUGUGGCUAACAGUAAGUCCUGCUGACCCUUCAGGCUCCAAUGAAUUUUACAAGAAGACAUUCAUCGAGUUUCUUGAUUCUUUUGCAUACCUUCACUUCACUGUUGAGGACAUAUGGAUACUAAAGCAAUUGGCGAAAAUGCAUCUUUGUUUCUCAUAAAGCAAGGCGCUAAAGCUGGUUUCUCAUCCUCCACCAUCUUCCUCUUUGUUAGCGCCUCAAGCACAACCUAUCACCGCCGUUGAAGACAGAUGUGCCCCUCUAAACGGUGGUGGAGGUCACACUUCUUGAUUACAUAUAUGCCCUUCUAAACGGUGGUAGAGGUCACACUUCAAGAACGGUAACCAAUAGUGCAGCUCAAAGCUUUUGUCAUCAGUUGGUCCAAAUGUGCCGAGAAUCUGCCAUGACUCAACGUUGCUCUUGUAGACGAUUUGUAGCAGCUCCUACAACAAACGGUGGUGGUUGGUGUCCAGACGCAUUUCUGGUGACUUCGGUUUAGGGUUCCGACAGUCUCAUUUUCUCUGUUUUGCUCCAUACACAGAGGGACCCAUUGAUGGGUAUUUAAUAUCAAAUCGUACAUACAGAGUUGCAGCAACAAAAAGGCCACUCCUUUUUAUUGGAACCGGUGAACAUAUGGAUGAAUUUGAACUAAUUGAGAUUAUGUGCAGCGAUUUAAUUUGGGAUUUUGUUUGUUGGGUAGAUAUUUAGGUCUACAUAGUUAAAAAUACCCCAAAGGAGGUAAUUCUAAUUUGCGCAAUUUAAGCGUUUAUUAAUUAAAGUUCCCUAUACAUUCUUCUAUUUUGUGCUGAUCAUGAUGGGUGUUUUAACGGAGCCAUGUGCUUGAUUUGAUUAAUCGUGGGGGGAACUUCAUCGUGGUCCGAGUCUUAGCCGACUUACAAAGGUUUAACACCAACAGAGAAGCUUUUGGAUUUGUUUCAUGGAAAAUUGGGACUAAAUGUUGACCCUAUAUUCGAUAAACUAGGCUACUAAGAUUUCAAGCUUUUGUCUAUGUUUCUGUAUAUGUUUUUUUUUUUCAAAGGGUGACCAUAUUUGUGUUCAUGAUCACUUAAAAUUC
This 1629-nucleotide long non-coding RNA is filed under the name Helianthus annuus (common sunflower). RNAcentral describes it as "hypothetical non coding rna". The record is from RNAcentral. Lineage: Eukaryota; Viridiplantae; Streptophyta; Magnoliopsida; Asterales; Asteraceae.